GAGAGAGAGAGAGAGAGAGAGAGAGCAGAAUUCAGGAAAGGAUUCGAUAGAGAAGAGAAUCCGAUCAAGGAGAUGGGCAGAAGAGAGAGAGAAAGAGAGGGGCUUGUGGAAUUCAGGGAAGACUCAUAUGACUGAUAUGAGCAGAAUCAUUCCCUCUUUUUUUCUGGUUUAUAUAAAGAGAGUGAAAAUUAGAGAGAGAGAGAGAGAGAGAG
This 212-nucleotide unclassified non-coding RNA is filed under the name Hevea brasiliensis (rubber tree). Lineage: Eukaryota; Viridiplantae; Streptophyta; Magnoliopsida; Malpighiales; Euphorbiaceae. The record is from RNAcentral.